Caenorhabditis elegans is the source of this 21-nucleotide non-coding RNA. The record is from Ensembl. NCBI's taxonomy places the organism in Eukaryota, Metazoa, Nematoda, Chromadorea, Rhabditida, Rhabditidae.
UUGGUAGCCAUUCUUGAAAAU